This 187-nucleotide ribosomal RNA is filed under the name uncultured bacterium. Its description in RNAcentral is "partial 16S ribosomal RNA". It matches the Rfam family "Bacterial small subunit ribosomal RNA", at positions 1314 to 1500 of the family's 1533-position model. The record is from RNAcentral.
GCCUUCAUGAAGCUGGAAUUGCUAGUAAUGGCAGGUCAGCAUACUGCCGUGAAUACGUUCCCGGGCCUUGUACACACCGCCCGUCACACCAUGAGAGUUGGAAAUACCCGAAGCCUGUGAGCUAACAGUAAUGAGGCAGCAGUCGAAGGUAGAGCCAAUGAUUGGGGUGAAGUCGUAACAAGGUAGC